CCUACGGGAGGCAGCAGUGAGGAAUAUUGGGCAAUGGGCGCGAGCCUGAACCAGCCAAGUCGCGGGAGGGAAGACGGUCCUAUGGAGUGUAAACCUCUUUUGUCGGGGAGCAAAAGACGCCACGCGUGGCGUUCCGAGAGUACCCGAAGAACAAGCAUCGGCUAACUCCGUGCCAGCAGCCGCGGUAUUACGGAGGAUGCGAGCGUUAUCCGGAUUUAUUGGGUUAAAGGGGUGCGCAGGCGGAAGAUCAAGUCAGCGGUAAAAUUGAGGGGCUCACCCUCUUCGGGCCGUUGCAACUGGUUUUCUUGAGUGAGCGAGAGGUAUGCGGAAUGCGUGGUGUAGCGGUGAAAUGCAUAGAUAUCACGCAGAAUUCCGAUUGCGAAGGCAGCAUACCGGCGCGCAACUGACGCUCAUGCACGAAAGUGUGGGUAUCGAACAGGAUUAGAUACCCCUGUAGUC
This 459-nucleotide ribosomal RNA is filed under the name uncultured bacterium. RNAcentral describes it as "partial 16S ribosomal RNA". It matches the Rfam family "Bacterial small subunit ribosomal RNA", at positions 338 to 795 of the family's 1533-position model. The record is from RNAcentral.